This is a non-coding RNA of Pelobates cultripes (western spadefoot toad), 347 nucleotides long. The record is from the annotation of a GenBank genome assembly. Lineage: Eukaryota; Metazoa; Chordata; Amphibia; Anura; Pelobatidae.
CAAAGGAUAUAGUAAUUGUGAGAUGUAUAUUUCAGAGAUCUCAAAAGCAUUGCUAGGUUCCAAACACACAUGGAAUAUUCCCUGGAGAACACACCAACAUCAGGGUGGUGAGACAGCCCUUUUGAGGUUACAGGAACAUUCCAAGCUUCAUAACAUUUACAGUGCGCGGUAUGAUUUUUUACCUGGAGUCUGUCAGUGUUCUGCUCCCUGCCUCCACCACAGCUAAGUGAUAGCCAAAAGCUCUCUGUCUGAGCUAAACCCACCAAUGCUGGCCUUAGAUCAGGAAAGCUGGCGUAAGUUCCUAACAGGAGAUUCCGGCUUUCAUUUUCAAUUGCAGAGAGGUGGUC